RNAcentral lists this non-coding RNA (97 nucleotides) under Dipodomys ordii (Ord's kangaroo rat). The record is from RNAcentral. Lineage: Eukaryota; Metazoa; Chordata; Mammalia; Rodentia; Heteromyidae.
GUGUUGUGUGAAAGCGAAGGUUAGCACUGCCCUUAAUAAGGAUAACAACAAGCAUAACCCAGAUGCCCCUCAGUAGAUGAACGGGGCAAGAAAAUGU